GAUGAACGCUGGCGGCAUGCCUAACACAUGCAAGUCGAGCGAACAGACGAGGAGCUUGCUUGGCUGACGCUAGCGGCGGGCGGGUGAGUACCACGUGGAUACCCUACCUAUAAGGCUGGGAUCACUUCGGGAACCCGGAGCUAAUACCCGAUAUGAUAUUGAACCGCAGGGUUCUAUAGUGAAAGACGGUUUUGCUGUCCCUUAUAGAGAGAUCCGCGUCGCAUUAGCUAGUUGGUACGGUAACGGCUUACCAAGGCAACGAUGCGUAGCCGACCUGAGAGGGUGAUCGGCCACACUGGAACUGAGACACGGUCCAGACUCCUACGGGAGGCAGCAGUAGGGAAUCUUCGGCAAUGGGCGAAAGCCUGACGGAGCAACGCCGCGUGUGUGAUGAAGGUCUUCGGAUCGUAAAGCUCUGUUAGUAGGGAAGAACAACUGUGUAAGUAACUAUUCACGUCUUGACGGUACCAAAUCAGAAAGCCCCGGCUAACUACGUG
RNAcentral lists this ribosomal RNA (497 nucleotides) under uncultured bacterium. RNAcentral describes it as "partial 16S ribosomal RNA". It matches the Rfam family "Bacterial small subunit ribosomal RNA", at positions 28 to 507 of the family's 1533-position model. The record is from RNAcentral.